This 301-nucleotide ribosomal RNA is filed under the name uncultured bacterium. RNAcentral describes it as "partial 16S ribosomal RNA". It matches the Rfam family "Bacterial small subunit ribosomal RNA", at positions 509 to 807 of the family's 1533-position model. The record is from RNAcentral.
CAGCCGCCACGGUAAUACGAAGGGUGCAAGCGUUACUCGGAAUUACUGAGCGUAAAGCGUGCGUAGGUGGUGGUUUAAGUCCGUUGUGAAAGCCCUGGGCUCAACCUGGGAAUUGCAGUGGAUACUGGGUCACUAGAGUGUGGUAGAGGAUAGUGGAAUUUCCGGUGUAGCAGUGAAAUGCGUAGAGGUCGGAAGGAACAUCUGUGGCGAAGGCGACUACCUGGGCCAACACUGACACUGAGGCACGAAAGCGUGGGGAGCAAACAGGAUUAGAUACCCCAGUAGUCCCUGUCUCUUAUAC